Molecule: non-coding RNA, 551 nt
Organism: Phoenix dactylifera (date palm)
Lineage: Eukaryota; Viridiplantae; Streptophyta; Magnoliopsida; Arecales; Arecaceae
Source: RefSeq, a predicted model, not a curated record
AAAGAGUAUUUCAAGAUUACAUUUUCAUAUAUGCUUCAUCUUUCUAACUGAUUCAUGCAUAAUAAAAUCUGGUGGCCAAGUGGCACUUAUGGUUCAGUACUAAGAUGGUACAAUUUUCAUCAGAAGUUAAUUUUUAUUUCCCUACCUCUCCUAUCCCUCUUCCUCUACUCAAUUUUCUGAUAGGGUAUUAUUGGUUAAGCAGUUGAAAUCGAAGGUUGGUGAAGUGAUGUCCUCUCCUGCCAUCACUCUGUCACCUGACAAGACAGUUUUAGAUGCUGCAGCUUUGAUGCUUAAGAUGAAGAUCCAUAGGGUACCAAUCGUAAAUGAAAAACAGCAAGUUGUAGGAAUGGUUUCUCGAACAGACAUAUUCCAGGCACUGGAAACCCAGGUGGUAUAAGCUCUCUGCUUCAUAAGAAUGCUUAUCUGCUGUGUAAAUAUGAAAAUAAGUGUAAAUAUGAAAAAUAAGUUAAAGAAGCACAUAAAACAGGGCAGCUAUGACUUUGUGACUCCUAAUUGCAUAUUGUAUGAUAUAUUCUCUUCAUUUCUUUGUG